RNAcentral lists this long non-coding RNA (5300 nucleotides) under Sus scrofa (pig). RNAcentral's name for it is "lncRNA (ENSSSCG00030041392.1)". Lineage: Eukaryota; Metazoa; Chordata; Mammalia; Artiodactyla; Suidae. The record is from RNAcentral.
GAGUGCCAAUAUAGGCAGCAACCAGAUAGAUGCAGCAACACCAUCUAGGAGACCAGAACACCAUACUCAAGGUCAUUGCUCUCCCGUUUCAUAUCCCUCUCCUCUCCCCAUGCAUACACCCAACUGCCUUCUUUCAGAGAUGAGUAGAGGGGAGAAAGACAAAAAUCUGAGAGACAUCCUUCCCCAUUCCAAGGCUGGAAAUUGCCUGCAGGAACCAUUUAUGUUAUCAAAUCAGUCUAGGUUUAAACUGGGUUAGAGAUUUGUUUAAAACUUUUUCCUGGAGUUCCCAUCUUGGUGCAGUGGAAAUGAAUCUGACUAGGAACCAUGAGGUUGCGGGUUCGAUCCCUGCUCUUGCUCAGUGGAUUAAGGAUCCUGUGUUGCCAUAAGCUGUGGUGUAGGUUGCAGACAUGGCUCGGAUCUGGCAUUGCUGUGGCUCUGGCAUAGGUCAGCAGCAACAGCUCUGAUUAGACCCCCAGCCUAGGAACACCCAUAUGUCGAGGGUAUGGCCCUAAAAAGACAAAAACAUAAAAACAAAAAAAUAAAACUGUUUCCUCUAACCAGAGGAUGGGGGCUCAUAUAGAAAACUAAACAACAACAGCAAAACAUUUUCUCUGCAUAGCUAAGAUGUCUGAGUUAAAAUGUUUGACCCCUAUUACGCAUCGACAAUCCCCCAAAGACCUCUAAUUGUAUUUGAAAGGGGGAGAGAAAUUGUCACCAGUGAUUUGUCACCUGAGGUUUACUGAUGCAUGAAGUUAAUCUCAACUUUCUAUUCACGUAGGGGUUUAUUUGCACACAGUGUACUACAUUAAUUUUUUAGCACAGUUUUCAUGUAUUUUUAUUAAAGUAUACUUUUCUUCUGACAUUUUAAAAGCCCUGUUGGUGUUGUAGGAACCAGUGCAUGCACUCAUCUGCUUGAUUCAUGCCUGCUUCUCUGCUUACUAUUUGUGUUUAUCUCCAGUGAGAGCAGAGCUGAAAGUCCUGUUUAUCCUUUGCUGUUCAUUCAAUAUUAAUGUAGGCUUUUACAUAUUCCCAGGGUAUAUUAUUCUUGAUGCUUAUAUGCUACAGAACUAGAGGACCCGCUAAAUUCCAUAAUUUAGGUAAAAAUAAUUUUUAGUACUUACUACUGAGAGUAGAGUUAAAGUAUGCAAGCUCUUUUCCUUUAACAUACUGAUUUUGGGGGAGGUCAUUAUUUUUAAAAAGACUCAGAUUUACUGAAAUUUUUAAAAAAUGUUCUUGAUUUUAUUUUACUAUUAGAGUUACAUGAAGUUAUAUUCCUCAUGGUUAUGUUAUUUAUUUAUUUACUUGGAAAGCAAAGGAAUUAUGUCAUGGGGCCAAACUGUUCCUGAAAAAUAUUUUAACUAGAGAAAAAGAAAUCCAGUAUUUAUCGGGCCUCUAUUCCAUACCAAUCACUUUGUCCUUUCAUUUAACUUUCUAAACAGUAGCCUCAUCCCAUUGAAGUCCCAGUUAAGGGAGCCCAGGUUGAAUACAUGAGUUAAUGUCUUUUUACCAAAGGGCUCCUGGAGAAUUUGCCUAAACUUAGUAUCUCUAAGGCAGAGUAUUCUGGAAAUGAAGAAGGUCUGGGAAGAAACAUUUUGCAAGAAAAGGGCUUUCAAAUCCUCUUAAGUAGUAAGGGACAGCCUGUUCUAGCUCAGAUCAGGGCCAAAUCGGUAAUGAAGGAACAAUGGAACCAUAGACAGUGAACACAUGGAGACUAGUGCCACUUUCUAGUGCCUGUGUGCUCCUGGGUAAAUUACAUAACCUCUUUGAGCCUUGGUUUCAUUCAUCUGUAAAUUGGGGAUCACCAUGGGAACUGGCGUACAGACCUUGCAGAAUUGUUUGCAGAUGAAUGAAGUUAUAUGUUUUUUUUUUUUUUUUGGUCUUUUGUCUUUUGUCUUUUUAGGGCCACACUUGAGGCAUAUGGAGGUUCCCAGGAUAGGGAUCUAAUAGUAGCUGUUGCUGCCAGCCUACACCAUAGCCACAGCUAUGCCAGAUUCUUAACCCAUGGAGCAAAGCCAGGGAUUGAACCCGAGUCCUUAUGGAUACUAGUUGGGUUCAUUAACCACUGAGCCACAAUGGGAACUCCGAGAGAGAGUUUUGUAUAUGAUAAAGCAUGUUGACUUAAAAAUAUGUACAGUCUAAAAAUGAGAGUCAAAUUUUAUUUGGGCCAAAAUGAGAACUAUAGCCUGGGAGAAAGCAUUUCAGAUUAACUCUGAAAACUGCUCCCAAGAGGUGGGGAGAAUGUUGGUAUAUAUGUGAUUUUGGUAUUGGGGGAGGUACAGGCAACCAAGUGCACAUUUUACAGAAGUUUACUUGCUGGUCUUAUGAAGGUUACUGCUAGUCACAAAGAGCAGAUGUCACCAUGAAGGAUUUUAGCGGUUUUCUAGAUUUGAGGGGAUGUAAGAAUUGGGCUCAUAAAAUCUUCUCUUGAAAUUAUCUAACUACCUGACAACCUGUUCUACCGGUUUUCCCAGAGCACAGGGUGCCUCACCCCUGAUCUUCACCCUAAACUCUUUCAGGGUGUGUUGAGGGUCAGCAGCUGCCGUAGCUCAUGAUUCAAUCAGUGUAGAGGCAGAUGGCAAGGGCCAAUCUCCUGUUCACAGGCAUAGUAAGAGUUUUUCUUGGUCCAGGUAAGUAAGGGCACGGAGAAGGGACAGGAAUGGCUGCAGAGGAGGAGUAGUGUUGGCAGGGAUCCUAGUCUAGGGAGGAUGGAACUUUUUCCAGACCCUGCUCCUAGCAAUCAAGUAUCUAACGGUAUUUUCCAUAACAGUCCUCUCACCAGAUCCCUAUGUGUCUAGGACACCACCCUGCUUCUUUCUUUCUGAUUUAUUCUGUUCUGGUCUAUAGCAAAACACACGUUUGGUGUUUAGAUCAUAUGGAAAAAGUUAGAUAAAAACUUGCCCAAUUCUCAGGAUGUGGAGAACGUUGCUCCUCCUAUUGGUGAAAUACUGGCUGUUACUAGAGGGAAGGCGCAUCAGGAAGCCAGUGAGAAGCUCAGCUAUUUGUUACAUUCACACUCUGUUGCAUAGCAACGGAAGGCAGGGAUGGGACAACUGACUUGUCCUCCACAACUCCUGGUUGCUUGAAUAUGCCUUGCUGAGGAGCCCUUUACUUUAAUGACUCCUCCAUUCGCCAAUCUCUCUAAUAUAUUUAUUUCCAUUAUCUCACUUCCUGUUGGUUUUUCUCAAUUCCCUUCCCAGUCUGGGGAAACAUGGUGGAGACUCCAAGGGAAGUUUUACUCUAAUCUUCACUUUUUUUUUCCUCCCCAAAGUUUGGCCCAAGUCCCAAGUUUGCGCUGGAAAUCUAAGCUAGGAAGACUUGUUCAGACUUUUUACCUUGACGUACUUUUCUUCUGAGACAAUUAUGGCAAUGGACUGAAUGUUUAUGUUCCCAUCCCCUAAAUUCCUAUGUUGAAAUCCUAACCUCCAGUGUGUUGGUUUUAAGAGGUGGUGCUGUUGGGAAGUGAUUAGAAAUUAGCUCAUGAGGGUGGGGGCUUCAUUAUUAUGAUUCGUGCCCUUAUAAAAGGGACCCUAAGGAGUUGCCUUGCCCUUUCUCCAUCUGAGCACAGAGUGAGAAAAUGGCCAUCUGUAAGCCAGGAAGCAGACUCUCCCAAGAUAUCAAAUCUGCUAAUGCCUUGAUCUUGGACUUCUAGGCCUCUAGAGUUAUGUGAUAUACAUCAUUGUUUACAAGUUACCUAGUCUUUUGUGUUCUAUUAUAGUUCUGUUAUAGUAGCCUGGACAGACUAAGGCAAUUAUGCAGAAGUAGCCUGACUGCUUGAAAGUGUGUGGAGUGUGUCGGAGAGUUUGCAAGUCCAAUGGAGGAAAUACCCUUGGGAAGAUACAUUAAUAUUAAAAAAAAUGCUCCUGCUACACACAUAUUUGAAAUUGUUUACUGUGGCAGACUCUGGAGGACCUAGAAUAAUUCAUUUUAACCCUUUCUCCUCUUCCAAGACAGCUUUUUAUCAUAUGCCUCAGGGAUAGAAUCCAGCACUUAGUUUCAUCAAUUUCUAGGGUCUGGGCUUAGCCAAAAUCAGAAACAAAUUUUGUCCAAGAGAAAUCAUGAUGUAAAGAGGAUGAUUAUUUUGGGGUUAAGGAGUCUAAAAGAGUUGGUUUCAAAUUUGUGUAAAAGAGAACAUUUUUGCAGGCCCUUUUAGGAACAACCUGUCAUGGUAACCAGGUAAGGGCAGCAAGAAGUCAUGUUUGUUGAUUCCCACUGAACUGCAACACUCGUUGGUUCAGCUUUGACUGCUGCUUCGAUAUGGUUCUAUGUUGUAGUUCUAACAUGAAUAGAAUUUCAUUUUUAAAAAUCUUAAAAAUAAACCCAAAUUUGCUAAACAUUUAUAUUGUUAUUUAUUUGCAAAAAUAGUUCACCAUCUUGAGUUUCAUUUCUGCCUCUGCUCCCACAUAUUUUAUCAACUUUCUUCUCAUUAUAAAUUUCACACCACAGAGUAGCAUAGAGCUGAGAACAGCAGACAGGAGAACAGAUAUAAUUAAAAUACAUUUCUCAACUAUACUUAGAAAUUAGGGCAAAAAUUGUGUGCAUCAAAAUAGGAUACUGAGAGAUUAAUGCUUGAAAGCCAGCUCUUCGUAGUUCAGGGACUCUUAGCCAGGUUAGUACUAAUAGACAUGGAAGGAUAAACAUUUUAUUGAACAGCCUUAAAAAAGACUCAAUAUAUUUUAAUACAAAUUUUCUUGUCUAUAAAGGAAGGCUAAAUUUAUUCUGAUUUGCAAAGACUCGAGAAUCAAAAUUUUUUAAAAAUUUGGAUGGUCUUAAAUAUAUUAACAAUUAUUGCCUAUUCAACACUGUCCCCACCAAGUUCCUGCUUUAUUUUAUUUAUUUAUUUAUUUUUUUUUGCCACACUCAUGGCAUGUGGAAGUUCCUGGGGCAGGGAUUGAGCCUGUACUGUAGUUGCGGCCUCUGCCACAGCUGCAGAGGCAAUGCUUGAUCCGUAAUCCACUGUGCUACAAAGGAACUUCCACCAAAUUGCUGCUUAUGUUCUGAAGUUUAUUCACUGCUUCUGUCCUUGGUUCUUCGGAUGAGCCAUAGUUGUAGUGCUCUUCAAACACCUGCCAAUUUAUUUUCUUAAAGAAAGUCUUUUCUUGGAGUUCCCUUCAUGGCUCAGCAGAAACAAAUCUGACUAGUAUCCAUGAGGAUGCAGUUUCGAUUCCUGGCCUCGCCCUGUGGGUUAAGGAUCAGGCAUUGCCAUGAGCUGUGGUGUAGGCCAGCGGCUACAGUUCUGAUUCAGAUUCCAUUGCUAACCUGAGAACCUCCACAUGCCACGGGUACGGCCCUAAAAAAAAAAA